Molecule: unclassified non-coding RNA, 331 nt
Filed under: soil metagenome
Description: partial contains 5.8S ribosomal RNA, internal transcribed spacer 2, and large subunit ribosomal RNA
Rfam family: 5.8S ribosomal RNA (bases 1-120)
Source: RNAcentral
GAUGAAGAACGUAGCGAAAUGCGAUAAGUAAUGUGAAUUGCAGAAUUCAGUGAAUCAUCGAAUCUUUGAACGCACAUUGCGCCCCCUGGUAUUCCGGGGGGCAUGCCUGUUCGAGCGUCAUUUCACCACUCAAGCCUCGCUUGGUAUUGGGCAACGCGGUCCGCCGCGUGCCUCAAAUCGACCGGCUGGGUCUUCUGUCCCCUAAGCGUUGUGGAAACUAUUCGCUAAAGGGUGUUCGGGAGGCUACGCCGUAAAACAUCCCCAUUUCUAAGGUUGACCUCGGAUCAGGUAGGGAUACCCGCUGAACUUAAGCAUAUCAAUAAGCGGAGGA